Molecule: ribosomal RNA, 633 nt
Filed under: Hysterangium sp. SM10007
Lineage: Eukaryota; Fungi; Basidiomycota; Agaricomycetes; Hysterangiales; Hysterangiaceae
Description: eukaryotic LSU rRNA
Rfam family: Eukaryotic large subunit ribosomal RNA
Source: RNAcentral
UCAAUAAGCGGAGGAAAAGAAACUAACCAGGAUUCCCCUAGUAACGGCGAGUGAAGCGGGAAGAGCUCAAAUUUGUAAUCUGGCGGUCUCUGGCCGUCCGAGUUGUAGUCUGGAGAAGCGUGUCCCGUGCCGGACCGUGUACAAGUCCCUUGGAACUGGGCGUCGUAGAGGGUGAGAAUCCCGUCUCGGACGCGGAUCACCGGGGCUCUGUGGCACGCUCUCGAAGAGUCGAGUUGUUUGGGAAUGCAGCUCAAAACGGGUGGUAAAUUCCAUCUAAAGCUAAAUACGGGCGAAAGACCGAUAGCGAACAAGUACCGUGAGGGAAAGAUGAAAAGCACUUUGGAAAGAGAGUUAAACAGUACGUGAAAUUGUUGAAAGGGAAACGCUUCACGUCAGUCGCGUCUCGCGGGACUCAGCCGGGUCGGCUCACGACCCGGUGCACUUCCCGACGGUGACGGGCCAGCAUCGAUCUCGACCGUCGGACAAAGGCUUGUGGGAAGGUGGCACCUCCGGGUGUGUUAUAGCCCCGUGCCGUACGCGACGGUCCGCGAUCGAGGACCGCAGCGCGCCCCCCGACUCCGGGGGUCGGGGUUCGCCCACGUGAAGCGCUUAGGAUGCUUGGCGUAAUGGCUU